This 305-nucleotide ribosomal RNA is filed under the name uncultured bacterium. Its description in RNAcentral is "bacterial SSU rRNA". It matches the Rfam family "Bacterial small subunit ribosomal RNA", at positions 335 to 639 of the family's 1533-position model. The record is from RNAcentral.
UACCUACGGGAGGCAGCAGUGAGGAAUAUUGGUCAAUGGGCGAGAGCCUGAACCAGCCAAGUCGCGUGAGGGAAGACGGUCCUAUGGAUUGUAAACCUCUUUUGCCGGGGAGCAAAAAGCGGUACGUGUACCGCAUCGAGAGUACCCGGAGAAAAAGCAUCGGCUAACUCCGUGCCAGCAGCCGCGGUAAUACGGAGGAUGCGAGCGUUAUCCGGAUUUAUUGGGUUUAAAGGGUGCGCAGGCGGGCUAUUAAGCCGGCGGUAAAAAUUCAAGGCUCAACCCUGUCGAGCCGUCGGAACUGGCAG